RNAcentral lists this ribosomal RNA (252 nucleotides) under uncultured bacterium. RNAcentral describes it as "partial 16S ribosomal RNA". It matches the Rfam family "Bacterial small subunit ribosomal RNA", at positions 524 to 775 of the family's 1533-position model. The record is from RNAcentral.
UACAGAGGGUGCAAGCGUUAAUCGGAGUUACUGGGCGUAAAGGGCGCGUAGGCGGAUAUUUAAGUUGGAUGUGAAAUCCCUGGGCUUAACCUAGGAAUUGCAUACAAAACUGGAUAUCUGGAGUAUUGUAGAGGGCAGUGGAAUUUCCGGUGUAGCGGUGAAAUGCGUAGAGAUCGGAGGGAACACCAGUGGCGAAGGCGACUGCCUGGACAAAUACUGACGCUGAGGCGCGAGAGCGUGGGGAGCAAACAG